AUGGCGUCCGACGGCAGCGGCGGCUCGUGGGCGACGAGCCUGAGCACGCCGGAGACCGACGAGCUCAUCCGUCUCGGGAUAAUGGUGCCGCCGGGCUGCCGUCUGCCGCACGCGUUCCACAUCACCGCCGACGGGUACCCGACUAGGGGGCUCGGCGCGUCGCCGGAUGAGCUCCGCCGGCACGAGGGCGGCCGGUGGAACAUCGUCGGCCGUGCUCAGUUUUGGAAAGGCAAAGAUUACUGGAACGUCCGUCGCGCAGGCUCGUUGGGAGUCGCGGACCGGUGGCUCGUCGUCUGGCCCGGGCGGCUCGUCGUCUGCCCCGCGCGGCUCGUCUUCUGCCCCGCGCCGGCGCCGCCGUCCCCCUCCGGCGGCCGCGCCGUCUCCAAGCUCGUCCCGCUGUCCGGUUCCCACCCUUGCCCGGCCCGCCUCCCCUCCCGUCGUCGAGAUCCCGCCGGAGCAGUUCGCACUGCGCGAGGACGGCGACCCCGACGACUGCCCCGGCUACCUCAUCGCACUGCGGGCGUCGCAGGCAGAAUCUGCGGCCGCGGCGGCGGCCGCGGAGGCGAGAGAGGCGGCCGAGCUGCAGGCCGCACUCGACGCUGCGACGGCUAUGGUGGCGGCAGCAGAGGCCGCCGAGCUGUAGGCCGCACUGGAUGCGGCGGCGGCCAUCAAAGCGGUGCAGCCGCAGGUGGCUCCAGAGGAGGACGACGGCAGCAAGAGCAGCGACGACAGCGAUGGUGA
This 741-nucleotide ribosomal RNA is filed under the name Triticum aestivum (bread wheat). Its description in RNAcentral is "partial small subunit ribosomal RNA". Lineage: Eukaryota; Viridiplantae; Streptophyta; Magnoliopsida; Poales; Poaceae. The record is from RNAcentral.